AAGUCGUAACAAGGUUUCCGUAGGUGAACCUGCGGAAGGAUCAUUAGAAAAUCCAGGAGUGUUCAAUACUCUUGGGCACAUUUCUAACCACACUGUUGACCAUUACCUCUGUUGCUUUCACAGCAAGGUAAUUUUUGCCUUGCUGUGAAUGAAUUCCAACUUUAACCUUUGUAAAUAGCUGUCUUUGUCUGAUAAUAAAAAUUAAACAUUAUAAAACUUUCAACAACGGAUCUCUUGGCUCCU
This 243-nucleotide unclassified non-coding RNA is filed under the name fungal sp. RNAcentral describes it as "partial internal transcribed spacer region". The stretch from base 1 to 46 matches the Rfam family "Eukaryotic small subunit ribosomal RNA", at positions 1786 to 1831 of the family's 1831-position model. Lineage: Eukaryota; Fungi. The record is from RNAcentral.